UGAUAACCUAAGAGAGAAAGAUAAUCCCACU
This 31-nucleotide non-coding RNA is filed under the name Mus musculus (house mouse). RNAcentral also lists the same sequence under 1 other name. The record is from RNAcentral. Lineage: Eukaryota; Metazoa; Chordata; Mammalia; Rodentia; Muridae.